UAUAAAAAUAUUAAGAUGCAAGCUUAGAGAUUAUAAAACUUAAAUAAAUAAUUUUAAG
RNAcentral lists this transfer RNA (58 nucleotides) under Pauropus longiramus. RNAcentral's name for it is "tRNA-Cys". Lineage: Eukaryota; Metazoa; Arthropoda; Pauropoda; Tetramerocerata; Pauropodidae. The record is from RNAcentral.